UGCAAGUCGAACGCGAAAGCCCCGCAAGGGGUAAGUAGAGUGGCAAACGGGUGAGUAACACGUGGGNGANCUGCCUCAGAGUGGGGGAUAACGACCCGAAAGGGUCGCUAAUACCGCAUAACAUCCUGCCUUUGGAUAGGUGGAGAUCAAAGCCGGGGAUCCGCAAGGACCAGGCGCUUAGAGAGGAGCCCGCGGCCGAUUAGCUAGUUGGUGAGGUAACGGCUCACCAAGGCGACGAUCGGUAUCCGGCCUGAGAGGGCGGACGGACACACUGGGACUGAGACACGGCCCAGACUCCUACGGGAGGCAGCAGUGGGGAAUUGUUCGCAAUGGGCGCAAGCCUGACGACGCAACGCCGCGUGGAGGACGAAGAUCUUCGGGUCGUAAACUCCUUUCGAUCGGGAAGAAUGGCUCCGGGGUUAAUAGCCCUGGAGAGUGACGGUACCGAGAGAAGAAGCCCCGGCUAACUCUGUGCCAGCAGCCGCGGUAAUACAGGGGGGGCAAGCGUUGUUCGGAAUUACUGGGCGUAAAGGGCUCGUAGGCGGCCAACUAAGUCCGACGUGAAAUCCCAAAGCUUAACUUUGGAACUGCGUCGGAUACUGGAUGGCUUGAAUUCGGGAGAGGGAUGCAGAAUUCCAGGUGUAGCGGUGAAAUGCGUAGAUAUCUGGAGGAAUACCGGUGGCGAAGGCGGCAUCCUGGACCGACAUUGACGCUGAGGAGCGAAAGCUAGGGGAGCAAACGGGAUUAGAUACCCCGGUAGUCCUAGCCCUAAACGAUGAAUGUUUGGUGUGGCGGGUAUCGAUCCCUGCCGUGCCGAAGCUAACGCAUUAAACAUUCCGCCUGGGGAGUACGGUCGCAAGGCUG
Molecule: ribosomal RNA, 864 nt
Filed under: uncultured Acidobacteriota bacterium
Lineage: Bacteria; Pseudomonadati; Acidobacteriota
Description: bacterial SSU rRNA
Rfam family: Bacterial small subunit ribosomal RNA
Source: RNAcentral